This 30-nucleotide small RNA is filed under the name Bombyx mori (domestic silkworm). Its description in RNAcentral is "ovarian small RNA-24163". Lineage: Eukaryota; Metazoa; Arthropoda; Insecta; Lepidoptera; Bombycidae. The record is from RNAcentral.
UAUUCGGACUUCAUGCUGGACUACUUACAU